RNAcentral lists this ribosomal RNA (640 nucleotides) under Qipengyuania seohaensis. Its description in RNAcentral is "bacterial SSU rRNA". It matches the Rfam family "Bacterial small subunit ribosomal RNA", at positions 64 to 750 of the family's 1533-position model. The record is from RNAcentral. Lineage: Bacteria; Pseudomonadati; Pseudomonadota; Alphaproteobacteria; Sphingomonadales; Erythrobacteraceae.
GAACGAACCCUUCGGGGUUAGUGGCGCACGGGUGCGUAACGCGUGGGAACCUGCCUUUAGGUUCGGAAUAACAGUUAGAAAUGACUGCUAAUACCGGAUAAUGUCUUCGGACCAAAGAUUUAUCGCCUUUAGAUGGGCCCGCGUUAGAUUAGAUAGUUGGUGGGGUAAUGGCCUACCAAGUCGACGAUCUAUAGCUGGUCUGAGAGGAUGAUCAGCCACACUGGGACUGAGACACGGCCCAGACUCCUACGGGAGGCAGCAGUGGGGAAUAUUGGACAAUGGGCGAAAGCCUGAUCCAGCAAUGCCGCGUGAGUGAUGAAGGCCUUAGGGUUGUAAAGCUCUUUUACCAGGGAUGAUAAUGACAGUACCUGGAGAAUAAGCUCCGGCUAACUCCGUGCCAGCAGCCGCGGUAAUACGGAGGGAGCUAGCGUUGUUCGGAAUUACUGGGCGUAAAGCGCGCGUAGGCGGCUUUUUAAGUCAGAGGUGAAAUCCCAGGGCUCAACCCUGGAACUGCCUUUGAAACUGGAAAGCUAGAAUAUUGGAGAGGUAAGUGGAAUUCCGAGUGUAGAGGUGAAAUUCGUAGAUAUUCGGAAGAACACCAGUGGCGAAGGCGACUUACUGGACAAUUAUUGACGCUGAG